This 186-nucleotide long non-coding RNA is filed under the name Aedes aegypti (yellow fever mosquito). RNAcentral describes it as "lncRNA AAEL020685". Lineage: Eukaryota; Metazoa; Arthropoda; Insecta; Diptera; Culicidae. The record is from RNAcentral.
AUUUCAGAAUAUGGAACCUCCCUUCAUGAGCCUUUGUCUUGGUCGUUGAAGAGAUUUGCUUCAAAUUCCAUGCAACUAUGAACCUUCGAUGUUCUGCCUGACGUUAUCGAAAAAUUGUUCACCAACUAUGCUGCAACAAAAUUCCCUCUGAAUUGUUGAAACAGACGUAGAUGAAUAUCUUCAAUA